This 493-nucleotide long non-coding RNA is filed under the name Amborella trichopoda. RNAcentral describes it as "long non-coding RNA (ATRI_LNC005264)". The record is from RNAcentral. Lineage: Eukaryota; Viridiplantae; Streptophyta; Magnoliopsida; Amborellales; Amborellaceae.
GAGAGAGAGAUACGGCUGUCAUCGAACACUGUGAGGCUGUCUUCUUUUCCAUCUUAUAUGUAGAGAGAAAGAUAGCAUAUCAGUCCGUGAGGGAGAGAGAAAGACACAGAAAGAGGGGCCUCGCAUCGAACACCGGGAGGUCAUCCUCCUUUUCUUCGUGUAUGAAGAGAAAGAAUAUGGGCAUGUGAGAGAGAGAGGCCUCGCACUGAACACUUGGAUUUAUUCUUUCCUUUUGUUCUUCCCGUAUAUAUAUAUAGAGAAGCCUCGCACUAAACACUUGGAGUUUGUCUUCUUCUUUUUCUUCUUCUCAUAUGUAGAGAGAGAGAGAGAGCGCAUAUGAGUCUGAAACCAAAGAGGGGUUUCACAUCAAACGCUUGGAGGGCAUCUUUUCUCUUUACGUAGAUAGACGAGCAUAUAAGUCUACGUGUAUGUAAGUAAUUCAAAAUGCGGAUCGCUCAAUUCGUAGGCGGUACGGAACUCGCUUAGGUAGACG